GAUGAACGCUGGCGGCGUGCCUAAUACAUGCAAGUCGAACGGACGGACGCUAAGCUCGCUUUUCUGCUGUUGGCGACGGGCGGGUGAGUAACGCGUGGAUAGCCUACCUCUUUGACUUGGAUAACUUCGGGAGGCAGUAGCUGCUACCAGAUCAUAUUUUGAACCGGUUGGAUCAAAAGUGAAAUACGGUUUUGCUGUCAGUUAUAGAUGGAUCCGCGCUGGAUUAGCUAGUUGGUAAGGUAACGGCUUACCAAGGCGACGAUGCGUAGCCGACCUGAGAGGGUGAUCGGCCACACUGGAACUGAGACAAGGUCCAGACUCCUACGGGAGGCAGCAGUGGGGAAUAUUCGGCAAUGGGCGAAAGCCUGAUGCAGCCACGCCGCGUGAGUGAUGAAGGUCUUCGGAUCGUAAAGCCCUUUUGUUAGGAAAGAACAUAUGUGUAUGAAAAUGCCCCUGUUUUGACGGUACCUAAAGAGAAAGCACCGGCUAACUACGUG
Molecule: ribosomal RNA, 497 nt
Filed under: uncultured bacterium
Lineage: Bacteria
Description: partial 16S ribosomal RNA
Rfam family: Bacterial small subunit ribosomal RNA
Source: RNAcentral